UUGACCUCGGAUCAGGUAAGGAUACCCGCUGAACUUAAGCAUAUCAAUAAGCGGAGGAAAAGAAACCAACAGGG
RNAcentral lists this ribosomal RNA (74 nucleotides) under Polytolypa hystricis. RNAcentral describes it as "partial 28S ribosomal RNA". It matches the Rfam family "Eukaryotic large subunit ribosomal RNA", at positions 1 to 73 of the family's 3401-position model. The record is from RNAcentral. Lineage: Eukaryota; Fungi; Ascomycota; Eurotiomycetes; Onygenales.